Conger conger (European conger) is the source of this 7278-nucleotide RNA transcript. RefSeq lists it as uncharacterized. Lineage: Eukaryota; Metazoa; Chordata; Actinopteri; Anguilliformes; Congridae. The record is from RefSeq and is a predicted model, not a curated record. The transcript has 7 exons.
AGUGUCGUGUGCAAAUCCCGCAAAUGCGUACGUGUGCAAAUUGUGACGUAACCACACUUGUGCAACGACAAAGAAUCUUGAAUUUGAAAUGUUUUUCUAUAAAAUACGCAGCAUUCUGCAGUUAAUCUCAUUUGACCUUGUACUGCUCGUCAGUCCUCAUGGGGAGUGCUACAAUACAACAAAGUUACCAUGCAGAGCUCACCUGGAGCCAGGGCUGAUGUACAGAAAAAUUAGUUGGUACAAGGUAGAGGAAGGUUUGACUGGGCUGGUGCUGAAAUACCUGAACACCAACCAGACUGUCAUCUAUAAAUCUGCAAACCACUCAUACCAGAUUGGAGAGGACCUGUCACUCAUUCUUCCCAUCUCAGCCAUAAAUGAUUGUGGUACAUACCAAUGCACUCUUUGGCCUCCUGUUGGGCACAAGAUUCAGGAAGGAGAAUGCAGCUAUUAUCCUCAAGGAUGCCCAGAGCCACAGGAGCCCCACUUGACAAAGGUACUGCCUGUGAAGCUCUCAAGUUCCAGCCUUGCGGAUAAUCUGGCGUAUUACGUGAUGGCAGGCAUGGGUGCUAUGGCUCUCCUGCUUGCUGUAUUAUUGUCAGUGGCAAUUUGGAAAUGUAAAUCGCGACAACAUGAGAAAUAUAGUUCACUUCUGACGUGAAAUUGCGGAAAGGUUAAAAUGUCAUGUUUACGGAAUACAGGUGAACCAAUGAACAUGUUAAAAGCCUGUAGAAUUGGGUGAAUUAUGUGUGUAUUUUUACACCCUGUAUAUCCUGUUUUCAAGUUACCAAAUUAGGGUGCCAUUUGUGUACAAAAAUACAUGUAAAGUAAAGGAAAAUAAUCUUGCAUUAUUGUGGGUCCAUAUCAUAUCUCAUGCUUGAAACUUCUUCAUGAGGUCAUUAUAGGUUAAGAAAAAUGUUUAUUUUAAUUGUGUCCCAUAAUAUUCACUCAACCCUGUUACCUGAAAACAUUCACCCCGGUUAAAUGUUUUUAAUAUGUCUGUAGUGCAGACAGAAACACUGAGCAUUUUCAAGACCAGGCUUGAUAUGGUGUUAGAUUCUAUUUGGCUUUUUGGCAAAUUAGGCAGUAGGUUCCUUUUUCUUAUAUAAAUAGUACUUAUUUGGACAUUUCUUUAAAAAAAUAUAUAUUUUUUUUUUUUGAGGGGAAAGGGAUUUAUUUAAUAUGCUUUGAAUAAAGUUUGGUAACGGGGCUAAGCAAAUACAGCCAAAAAAAUGGGAUAUUAUUACCUGAGAAGGGUAAUUGUAUUUUUUCAAUGGUCUUUGUCCGGUUCUGUGUUAAAAAAAAACAAGGAAAUAUACGUUUUUGCAAAAGGCAGUCGUUGUCAGCAAAGAGAGCAUACAUUUUUUUUCCAAACAUGUUUCUUGAAGGGUUAAAAAGGGUUUUUUUUUCUAUAAAAAAGCCUAUUUUCCCACUUGAUCCAAUCAUGCUUGACAGCCAAUACAGAAUAAUUCCUCAUAUAUUUGAUGUUCUAUCUAUGCUAUAUCUAUUUUUCAUUAUUUUUACCUGGUCCAAUGUUUUUCCCCAAAUACACAGACAAAGAAAAAAAAUACAUGGAAGUUGACAGUCUCCGCAUUCAUUGUUUCAUUUCAAAUCCAAUGUGCUGGAGUACAGAGCCAAAAGAACAAAAAUUGUGUCACUGCCAUAGUACUUAUGCAUGUUCUUAUACUUCAAGAUGCAUCCCUCAAUACCUGUGAGAUAAAGGACAGUUCAUUUUUUUAAUCGAUGAAAACACUGAGCUAAACUGAAACAUUGAUGUGUAAUUUGCCAACGUGAGUUUUGAAGCAUUUGCAGAAGAAGCCAAUGAAUAUGCCUGCCUGACUGAUUAGGGAAGGUUGUUCGUCCAGUGGGCCAGAAGGGGUAUUAUGCGAUGGACAGCCACCUGGAAGAAGGAUGCUAAAUGGGGAUGCCUGGUUGGUGUAUAUAGUGGGGUCAUUUGUGGCUUGGUAAGUUUGGGAGAGAUUUGAAGUGAACGCAGACGACCCCAGGAAGGCUUGGCCUUCAUUGGAAAGUUGAUAACCAGGUGGGCAGCAGCGUUCUAGACUAUUUGCAGUGGCCUGAUGACACGUGAGUAUACCAGCCAGCAAGGCACAACAUUAACUGAAGCUCCUGACCCGUAUCUGAUGGUAUGCAAUGCACUGCUGCCACACAAUUGGCUGAUUUGAUCAUCGCAAUAAAGUAAAAAUGUAAAGUGAUAUGUGAGUGUAUACAGUUGGUACCCUCCUUGUUGGGGCUGGUUGGUACAAUGGAAUGACUUAAAUCAUUAUAGCCGCCUAAAUGUACAAAACAAUUGCGGACAUUAAAAUUAAUGUUUUCAAACUGCGAACCAGAGAAUUACGGGAAACCGGUCUUCACAGUGAAUGCGAAACUGCGUUUACGGGAAGUGGGCGAGUGGGUUAUCAUAGCAAUGGAAACAUUGUGAGGGGCUUUCUCUUCACAGCGAGACUAUCGACAAAGAUGUUUUCAAGAUGUGUUCUGCCUAGUUCAUUAUAUUUGCUUGUCGUCAUGAUCCUGCGGAGCUCGGAGGCUAUGACCUCGAUUCACGCCAAGUGCAGAGAAAAUGUCAUACUGCCCUGUGAUGCUACCCAUCCGGCUGAACCGUACCGGUAUGUCACUUGGUACAAGGUAGGCUUCAGGCGCCCCAAGAUAUGCCUAAAAAUCUUUUUCGAAUAUGAGCUGUUUUUAACCCUUGCAGAUGCAUAUGCUCCUCAAUACCCCUUUAAUGCAAAUGAAAUAGUAUUUCUUGGUAGGAUAUACAGUCCCCUCCAAAAGUAUUGGAACAGGAAGGUCAAUUCCUUUGUUUUUGCUCUACACUGAAGGCAAAAAGAUGUACAUGAGAUCACAUUCUGAAUUUCAGCUUUUAUUGCCUGGUAUUUUUAUUUAGAUUUGUUAAACAACUUAUGACCUGUUGUAUCUGACCUCCCAAUCUUUAGGUGAGCAAAUGUAUUUGAAUAUGUGACUGACUGGUGUUUCUUUUGCCUGGAUAUGUCCUGUUAGAUUGAUUGGUUGAACAAUAAAUAGUUUUGAAUGUUUACACCUGGUUUUAACCUUGGGUUUUGCCUUUGAAGACUGAAUUUGUGUUAGAAAGGAUAAACCAACAUGAAGACCAGAGAGCUGUCUUUGGGAGAAAAGCAAACAAUUUUGAAGCUGGGAAAAGAGGGGAAAUUGAUCACUGCUAUUGCACAACCAUUGGGGAUGGCUUGUACAACAACUUGGAAUGUCCUAAAAAAGAAAGAAACCUUGAGUACUGAGCAACAGACCUCGACCAGGUCGAUCAAGGUGAACGGGACUCGAACUGGGAUUAUCAUGAAAUAUCAAGGCAAAGAAGAGGAGCCUUUCAACAAUGCACGGACGGCCUGGUUGAGAGAUGGGGAGAGCCUGUCAAUCCCCGGUGUCAGGCCUGAGGACUCAGGGGAGUAUGAGUGUCUCCGGUUUCCACACGUGGGUGGAAAAAUCAGAGAAACAAAGCUCCAUCUCAAUGUAUCAGAAUGCAUCACCCAUGCUGAUACCACAGCCACUGCUUUGGCUACUGUGGCUGCUGAUACCACACUUGCAGCUUCGGCUGCUGUGUCUGGUGUGAUGUCUUCAUCCAGUAGUCCCUGCAUGGUCCAGGUGCUGGAGGUGACCCCAUUAAUGGUCAUAUCCAGUUUUUCCAUCAUUGCCUUUGUCAAAGUUAUUUUCUGCAUCCUUGCUGUCUGGGUAAGUAUUAUCGUCCUACUUACUUUUCCUUUAGAAUUAAAACCAAAAUGUCACUUAAAAUUCAUUUAAAUAAUACAGUCCCCUCCAAAAGUAUUGGAACAGCAAGGCCAACAUCUUGUGGUAUAUCCUCUAUAUUGCUGCUAAGUCUUCUUCAAAACAGUUAAUUAAGCUACCUCCACCCUUGCCCUGUGGAGAUUGUUUGAGAUGUCACUGACUGAUGUUUUGUGGUUUUUCUUGAGAAGUUUCAUCAACUAUUGUUGUUUUCCUUUAUCAACCUUUUAUAAUCGUUAUAAUGGUACAGUAGAAUUUAUAGAUGGUAACAUUUGUAUUUUAUUGCACAAGCAGUAAAAACAACACAUAAUGUUUUAUAAUAGUGCUGUUCACUUUAGUUUAGUUUUCAGUUUGUUCUCAACUGCAUGUUCUCCUGCAUGGAAAUGAACUGAUGAACAGCCAAACUGUUGUAUAAUGUAGGCUGACAGGCAACCCUGUCCUUCACUUUUCACUCGUCUGUCCAUAGGACAUUAUCCCAAAGGGGAUCAUCCAGGUUCCUUUUUGCGAAUGUGUGCCAAGCAUUGAUGUUUCUUUUGGUAAGCAGUGGUUUCUGUCCUGCUACUCUCCCAUGAAUCCAAUUCCUGUCCAGUCUUCUUCUUGUUGAGAAGUCAUGAAGUGACCUUAGCUGUGGCUAGAGGGGCCUGCAGUUCUUUGGGUGUCUCCUGGGAUCUUUUAUGAGUUCCUGGAUGAGUUAUCACUGUACCCUUAAAGACAUUUUGGCAGGCCAGCCACUCCUGGGAAGACUGUUCCAAGUGUUUCCAUUUGGAGAUGAUGUCUCUUUAUGGUUCGGGGGAAGGGCUUUGUAACCAUUUCCAGACUGGUAUAUUUCAACAUUAUUAUUAUUCUCAUCUCUUCCGGAAUUUCUUUUGAUUGUGGCAUAUAGUGUACUUUGUGAUGACUACUUCACUCUCAUGGUAAGGAUCAAUACAAGUGAGGUUUAGAGUUAUCAAGUUCAGUUGGUUUCAGUUAAUUGGUUAGUUGAGUGUCUAAUGGGGCAAAUACACAUAUGGGGGAUAUGGAUAACUUUUUUCAACAAGAUCUAGUCACAGCAGGCUCGAUAUGAACUCAGUUGUGUUUAUCCCAACGGUGACAUAUCUUGACCAAGCUGGCUUCCUGAUCUCCUUCUGCCCUUCUGCCUUGCUGUUUUUGUCAUUUAUUUGCAUUUCUGCUGUGUGAGACGGUGAGAUGUUUGUGUUACCUUUUUCAUCAGGGCGUGUUUGCAAUCAGAACGAGACUAGAGAGACGGAGAAUGGACAUCUGGAUAUAAGAGUACUGUGGGGGAAGGGCGAGCAUGGACAGCCAAUCAGGGGUUGAAGGGAGACGAGGGCCCCAUUCCUGUGUAAAAUACUGAGAGCUUCACAGAACUACUUUUACACUUACGACAGCAGUGUCCUACAGAAGCAUUUGUUGCAACAGAAUUUAAAUUCCUCAGUUUUCAGAGUUCAGUUUCAUUUUUGCAUGUACAUGCAGAAGUCUUAGGCACCCUAGACUUUAUUAUAUAUACUUUUAUUUUUUUGAGUGUGUUAGUAUAAAAGAACACAUUUGAGAUUUCCAAAUAUUCAUUUUCCAAAAGAUAUAAUUUUAGAGACAUUUUUGUAUUUAAUUUUUUUUUUUUAAGUAAGAUAUUACUGUAAGCAAUUGACUGCAUUUUACAUGAUCCUACAUUUUACAUGAAACUUGAUCAAGGCUGUCUGAGAUCAGAAGCAAGGAGCCAAUCAAAAUCUACAGAAGAACUGCAGUAAGUUCUCCAACAUGCUUGGAACAACGUCCCUGCUGAUUGUCUUAUAGAACUGCAGGACAGCAUUGGCCAUCUCAGAGAAGUAAUGCAGUUUUAACGCCAAAGGGUGGUCACAAAAAAUAUUGAUUCGAUUCAGUUUUUAACUAUUCUGCCAAAUUACUCAAAUGUAAUGUAAAAUGUAUAGUACAUUUAUUUAGGACCUUUCAUUGAAUUAUUUUUGAAAGAAUCUUAUCUGUACAGAAUGUUAUACAGGUGCCUAAGAACUUUUUCACAGUACUGUACAUAUCAGUGACUAACAUGUAGAUAAUAUAGUGUAUAUAAUGUCUUGAAACAAUUAUUGCCAAUAUGUAUAUUUGAACUAGAUAGAUUUCAUUGGAUUUCUGUUCUUUUGGAACUGUACUCUAGCACAUUGGAUUUUGAACGAAACAAUGAAAAGUAGGUUAAAUUGCAGAUGGUCACACUUAAUUUGCGGGUAGUUACAUCCAUAUCCAGUGAUUCAUGUAGGAUAACAUCCCUUUUUAGGGGACAGUUGGCUUCUUCUCCACUGUUUCGAUUAGUCAGGUGUAUUCAAUCGCUUCCUUAUUUACUAUCUAGUCUUGGUUCUAUGCUUUUUAUUGCAUUUGUUAUUUUUUGGCUUGUACCUCCAUUAACAGCACUUCAAUUUUCCUGGUUCAAUUUUUCUUUGCCUAUCUCUGUAAUGGAAUUAAUCUUGGAAUUCUUAAUGGAAUUACAAGCUCCUUAUAUGGUAUUUUAGGGGUGUCAACUAAUCACAAGUUCUGUGAAAAUGCUUAUUAUGUACAAUGCGUUUCUGGUGGAAUUUGUUUCCGAUUACACAUACAUUCACACACAGAUUUCUGAAAAUAAGAUUGGUCUGAUAAACAGCUGAACCUCCUGACCAUGUCUGCAUGCCUUUAUGAAUUUAGUUGCUGCCACAUGAUAGGUUGAUUCAAUAUUUGCAUUAACAAGCUGGUGUACAGGUCUACCUAAUAAAGUGAUCACUGAGUGUAUGAAAAGGGAUGCAUUUCCUAUAUGGAUCACCUGAUAUGGCUGUAAAUAUCCUGAAAUUAAAGUACUCCAUUCUGCACUUUAACAUCAUAUCCAUUAUUUGAUUUCCAAUCCAAUGUAGUACUGGAGUACUGAGCCAAACGGACAGAAAUUGUACCACUGUCCAAAGACAUACAGACUGCACUGUACAAAUCAUGGGUCUUUCCAGGAUAUAUAUAUAUAUAUAUAUUUUAUGAUGGGUUAAAUGCAGAGGAUAAAUGCUCAGUAAGGUAUACAUAUCUUAUCUCUUGAUUAUGGUCUGCUGAAAAUGGCAAUAGGUUUUUCACACAAUUUGUGAUGUCCAAGAAUGAUGAGGUAAUCUCGUAUUAAAUAAAUUCACCUUAUUUUUUAUUAUGUGAACAGUCUUGCUCAUUCAAAUAUGUCUCAGCAGUGCCCCCUGCUGCUGUAACACGGAUGUGACAGCUUAAUCCUGCAUUACCUGCUGAUUCAGUUCUAUGAAAUAAUAAAAUGUACCUCUUUGUCCUGUAUGUUUCAAUAUUGAAUGCCUGUAUACAUAUGAAAAAUAGUUUUGGUGUUGUCACUAACCCUGAAAACUCAUGUAUGCUGGUUCAAAUAUGUAUUCACAUUUUACACAUUGCACCUGUGAAUUAUGCUGACCAGAAUUGGAAUGUCCUCUUUGGGACUGAACUCAUCUGUUUAUAUGGGAUUUGGGUUUCUUCAUUCCAACAAUCGUAUAUAAAUAAAUAAAUAAAAGGCCUAAUAUUGACUAA